This 492-nucleotide ribosomal RNA is filed under the name uncultured bacterium. Its description in RNAcentral is "partial 16S ribosomal RNA". It matches the Rfam family "Bacterial small subunit ribosomal RNA", at positions 29 to 507 of the family's 1533-position model. The record is from RNAcentral.
AGUGAACGCUGGCGGUAGGCCUAACACAUGCAAGUCGAACGGCAGCACAGUAAGAGCUUGCUCUUACGGGUGGCGAGUGGCGGACGGGUGAGGAAUACAUCGGAAUCUACUUUUUCGUGGGGGAUAACGUAGGGAAACUUACGCUAAUACCGCAUACGACCUACGGGUGAAAGCAGGGGAUCUUCGGGCCUUGCGCGAUUGAAUGAGCCGAUGUCGGAUUAGCUAGUUGGCGGGGUAAAGGCCCACCAAGGCGACGAUCCGUAACCGGUCUGAGAGGAUGAUCAGCCACACUGGAACUGAGACACGGUCCAGACUCCUACGGGAGGCAGCAGUGGGGAAUAUUGGACAAAGGGCGCAAGCCUGAUCCAGCCAUACCGCGUGGGUGAAGAAGGCCUUCGGGUUGUAAAGCCCUUUUGUUGGGAAAGAAAAGCAGCAGGUUAAUACCCCGCUGUUCUGACGGUACCCAAAGAAUAAGUACCGGCUAACUUCGUG